CCACACUGAAGUACGCUUAAAGACAGUCCUGAAUUUCUGUUGGUUUUGCGUCAGACCUUUGGAAAAAGCAGACCCAGUGUGGUACUUUGAUGGCAGACUGCCUGAGAAUACCAGGUGCUGUAUGGU
RNAcentral lists this ribosomal RNA (126 nucleotides) under Anser brachyrhynchus (Pink-footed goose). Lineage: Eukaryota; Metazoa; Chordata; Aves; Anseriformes; Anatidae. The record is from RNAcentral.